UCACCAUGUAACAAAUGCAGACAUCUCUGAGAUCACCAUGUAGUGAGAAAGUCCAAGCUGGUGGCAUGAAGAGGCCACAUGGAAAGGGCUAAAAAAGGGGCCAGCCUCAGUCAUCCCAGCUGAGCACCUGGCUAGGAGUAAAGGAGGACCCCAUGGAUAUCCAGCCCGGUAAGAUGACAUCAGCCCCAACCACCAACUGACCAUGCACACAAGACAUCGUGAGUGAGGCUGCCCACUGGAGCCUGGCCAGUGGGACUGCAGAGUAACUCAUUGUCGUGCAGGGACUCCUGGGAUGGUGUUGCCCAGUGACACAAUCCCAGUGUGGCCAUUUCUGAUCCCGAGAAAGCAGUCAGGAGUGGGUGGCUGCAGUUACAGUUCAUCGAGUCCUGCUGGUUCAAGUCAUGAGUCCUGAAUUCCCUGGGAGGAGCCACUAAAGAAAUGCAGAAGAAGGAAAUCCUUGCAAUAAAGCCAUCAAACUGCCAGUGGGAAGGGUGCCCAGGUAACCUGCCCACGUCAGGACGGCCAGGAGAUGGCGGAACCAGAAUCUAAGCCCACUCCCAUCUGACUUCAACGUCUGUGCCCCUGAUGUUUGCACCGAGUCACCUCCUAAGACUUUCUGAAACUGGAUCACAUCCAUUUAUCUCUGAGAGAAAUGCAAGCUUUAAAAAA
This is a long non-coding RNA of Mandrillus leucophaeus (drill), 669 nucleotides long. RefSeq lists it as uncharacterized. Lineage: Eukaryota; Metazoa; Chordata; Mammalia; Primates; Cercopithecidae. The record is from RefSeq and is a predicted model, not a curated record. The transcript has 3 exons.